Molecule: long non-coding RNA, 372 nt
Organism: Sardina pilchardus (European sardine)
Lineage: Eukaryota; Metazoa; Chordata; Actinopteri; Clupeiformes; Clupeidae
Exons: 3
Source: RefSeq, a predicted model, not a curated record
UCUUGACGUGGUGAUUGAAAAGUGGUGGGUUUAUAGAUGACCGCGCGACGACGUUUAAACUGUCUGCGGGUCCGGAGAUCAUUGGGAGCAACAGUUCAGUCAGACCAACGGUGUUCAACUCUCUCUCAAGUUCGCCGCUCCUAAUGCUGGAUGGUGGAGGAUGACUAGCUGCAACCGGGAGGUUUAUGGAUGAAUGGAUGGCAGCGAAGCACAGCAUACGUGGAUUUCUAAGUGAAGAGUGGAUAAAUAAAUUGGACUUGCCUUUCAAACUGAAUAAGUUGUCCAUGGCCUACCUACGUUUUCACUGGAUGGUGGACGAUGACUGCAACCGGGAGGUGUAUGGAGGGAUGCUAUACGGAAUGGAUGGCAGUG